AGAGUUUGAUCCUGGCUCAGAUUGAACGCUGGCGGAAUGCUUUACACAUGCAAGUCGAACGGCAGCAUAGGUGCUUGCACCUGAUGGCGAGUGGCGAACGGGUGAGUAAUACAUCGGAACGUGCCCAGUCGUGGGGGAUAACGUAGCGAAAGUUACGCUAAUACCGCAUACGAUCUAUGGAUGAAAGCGGGGGACCGUAAGGCCUCGCGCGAUUGGAGCGGCCGAUGUCAGAUUAGGUAGUUGGUGAGGUAAAGGCUCACCAAGCCAACGAUCUGUAGCUGGUCUGAGAGGACGACCAGCCACACUGGGACUGAGACACGGCCCAGACUCCUACGGGAGGCAGCAGUGGGGAAUUUUGGACAAUGGGCGCAAGCCUGAUCCAGCCAUUCCGCGUGCAGGACGAAGGCCUUCGGGUUGUAAACUGCUUUUGUACGGAGCGAAAAGCCUUGGGUUAAUACCCUGGGGUCAUGACGGUACUGUAAGAAUAAGCACCGGCUAACUACGUGCCAGCAGCCGCGGUAAU
This 523-nucleotide ribosomal RNA is filed under the name uncultured bacterium. RNAcentral describes it as "bacterial SSU rRNA". It matches the Rfam family "Bacterial small subunit ribosomal RNA", at positions 8 to 524 of the family's 1533-position model. The record is from RNAcentral.